RNAcentral lists this ribosomal RNA (468 nucleotides) under Bacillus cereus. RNAcentral describes it as "bacterial SSU rRNA". It matches the Rfam family "Bacterial small subunit ribosomal RNA", at positions 61 to 509 of the family's 1533-position model. Lineage: Bacteria; Bacillati; Bacillota; Bacilli; Caryophanales; Bacillaceae. The record is from RNAcentral.
GUCGAGCGAAUGGAUUAAGAGCUUGCUCUUAUGAAGUUAGCGGCGGACGGGUGAGUAACACGUGGGUAACCUGCCCAUAAGACUGGGAUAACUCCGGGAAACCGGGGCUAAUACCGGAUAACAUUUUGAACCGCAUGGUUCGAAAUUGAAAGGCGGCUUCGGCUGUCACUUAUGGAUGGACCCGCGUCGCAUUAGCUAGUUGGUGAGGUAACGGCUCACCAAGGCAACGAUGCGUAGCCGACCUGAGAGGGUGAUCGGCCACACUGGGACUGAGACACGGCCCAGACUCCUACGGGAGGCAGCAGUAGGGAAUCUUCCGCAAUGGACGAAAGUCUGACGGAGCAACGCCGCGUGAGUGAUGAAGGCUUUCGGGUCGUAAAACUCUGUUGUUAGGGAAGAACAAGUGCUAGUUGAAUAAGCUGGCACCUUGACGGUACCUAACCAGAAAGCCACGGCUAACUACGUGCC